RNAcentral lists this ribosomal RNA (402 nucleotides) under Salpingoeca fusiformis. Its description in RNAcentral is "partial small subunit ribosomal RNA". It matches the Rfam family "Eukaryotic small subunit ribosomal RNA", at positions 30 to 432 of the family's 1831-position model. Lineage: Eukaryota; Choanoflagellata; Craspedida; Salpingoecidae. The record is from RNAcentral.
GCUUGUCUCAAAGAUUAAGCCAUGCAUGUCUAAGUAUAAGCUUUUAUACGGUGAAACUGCGAAUGGCUCAUUAAAACAGUUAUAGUUUAUUUGAUGGUCACUCACUACUUGGAUAACCGUGGUAAUUCUAGAGCUAAUACAUGCGUCAAGACCCGACUUUUUGGAAGGGUUGUAUUUAUUAGAUACAAAACCAAUGCGGAGCAAUCCGGUUUGUGGUGAUUCAUAAUAACUUUGCGAAUCGCAUGGCCUUGCGCCGGCGAUGAAUCAUUCAAAUUUCUGCCCUAUCAACUUUCGAUGGUAAGGUAUUGGCCUACCAUGGUUACAACGGGUAACGGGGAAUUAGGGUUCGGUUCCGGAGAGGGCGCCUGAGAAAUGGCGACCACAUCCAAGGAAGGCAGCAGG